AUUGAACGCUGGCGGCAUGCCUUACACAUGCAAGUCGAACGGUAACGGGCCUUCGGGUGCCGUCGCGUGGCGGACGGGUGUGUAUUACAACGUAACGUGCCCGAUCGUGGGGGUUAACGAGGCGAAAGCUUUGAUCACACCCCAUACGAUCUACGGAUGAGAGCAGGGGAACGCAAGGCCCUGUGCGGACGGCGCGGACGAUGGUAGAUUGGGUAGUUGGUGGGGUAACAGCUUACCAAGCCGACGAUUCGUAGCUGGGCUGAGAGAAUGAUCAGCCACACGGGAACUGAGACACGGCCCAGACUCCUACGGGAGGCAGCAGUGGGGAAUUUUGGACAAUGGGGGAAAGCCGGAUCAAGCCAGGCCGCGUGGAGGAUGAAGGCCUUCGGGUUGUAAACUGCUUUGGUACGGAACGAAAAGCCUUCGUUUAAAACAGGAGGUUCAUGACGGUACCGAAGGAAUAAGCACCGGCUAACUACGUG
Molecule: ribosomal RNA, 482 nt
Filed under: uncultured bacterium
Lineage: Bacteria
Description: partial 16S ribosomal RNA
Rfam family: Bacterial small subunit ribosomal RNA
Source: RNAcentral